GAUCCUGGCUCAGGAUGAACGCUAGCUACAGGCUUAACACAUGCAAGUCGAGGGGAAACGACAUCGAAAGCUUGCUUUUGAUGGGCGUCGACCGGCGCACGGGUGAGUAACGCGUAUCCAACCUGCCCACCACUUGGGGAUAACCUUGCGAAAGUAAGACUAAUACCCAAUGACAUCCCACGAAGACAUCUGAAUGGGAUUAAAGAUUUAUCGGUGAUGGAUGGGGAUGCGUCUGAUUAGCUUGG
This 245-nucleotide ribosomal RNA is filed under the name uncultured bacterium. Its description in RNAcentral is "partial 16S ribosomal RNA". It matches the Rfam family "Bacterial small subunit ribosomal RNA", at positions 15 to 249 of the family's 1533-position model. The record is from RNAcentral.